GACGAACGCUGGCGGCGUGCUUAACACAUGCAAGUCGAACGGUGAAGCGCCUUCCUUUUUGGUGGGUGUGGAUGAGUGGCGAACGGGUUAGUAACACUUGAGUAACCUUCCCCCUUCUUCUGGAUAACCGCAUGAAAGUGUGGCUAAUACGGGAUAUUCUGGGUCUGUCGCAUGAUUGGUCUUUGUCAGAUUUUGUUUCGGUUUGUGAUGGGAUCGCGGCCUUUCAGCUUGUUGGUGGGGUGAUUGCCUACCAAGGCGGUGACGGGUAGCCGGCCUGGGAGGGUGGACGGUAACACAGGGAGUGAGAGACGGCCAAGACUCCUACGGGAGGCAGCAGGGGGGAAUAUUGAACAAUGGGAGAAAGACUGAUGCAGCGACGCCGCGGGAGGGAUGGAGGCCUGCGGGUUGUGAACCUCUUUCGCCAGUGAAGCAGGCCUGACUCGUUUGUGGGUGGGUUGACGGUAGCUGGAUAAGAAGCGCCGGCUAACUACGUG
This 494-nucleotide ribosomal RNA is filed under the name uncultured bacterium. Its description in RNAcentral is "partial 16S ribosomal RNA". It matches the Rfam family "Bacterial small subunit ribosomal RNA", at positions 28 to 507 of the family's 1533-position model. The record is from RNAcentral.